RNAcentral lists this ribosomal RNA (253 nucleotides) under uncultured bacterium. RNAcentral describes it as "partial 16S ribosomal RNA". It matches the Rfam family "Bacterial small subunit ribosomal RNA", at positions 524 to 776 of the family's 1533-position model. The record is from RNAcentral.
UACGUAGGGGGCUAGCGUUGUCCGGAUUUAUUGGGCGUAAAGAGCGUGUAGGCGGCCGAGUAAGUCCGGUGUGAAAGUCAAAGGCUCAACCUUUGAAUGCCGCUGGAAACUGCCUGGCUUGAGUCCGGAAGGGGCGAGUGGAAUUCCUGGUGUAGCGGUGAAAUGCGCAGAUAUCAGGAGGAACACCAAUGGCGAAGGCAGCUCGCUGGAACGGUACUGACGCUGAGGCGCGAAAGCGUGGGGAGCGAACAGG